UCUUGUCACAUUAUUGCUUUCAAUAAGGCUUUGCUUGAAGAGGCUAAAUCGAGCCAUUUCCCACGGGCAGCACUGGGCAGGGGCUGUCAAGGCUCAGCACUCAAGGAGCCCACGUGCACUCGGUGCAGAAGCAGCACCCAGCCUAACGCUUGGGACAGCAGGAACCGAGUGGUGUGUAAUGGCUUAUCAAGGCAUCCCACACACUGACGACCUGCUGCAGAGCAUGCUUGGGAACACCAGGCCUUCACUACAAGUUCACAUGAAUUCAAGCUUACAGGGGACUCAUGCAAAGCCCUGUGCCUCGACAGCCAGCAGCACAGCUCUCACGAGUAUCUCCAAAGCUGUUUGUCCAGAGUUUAUUUGGGAUUGGUUUCCUUAAUUUCAUGCAACAGUCAUCAAAGCAAAACAGAAGUGGACGUGCUGCUGUCAGUGUGGAUGUGGAGUCCUCCGUGUCCCCCCUCUGCUCGUUAUCUGCAGGGACUGAAAUUUGGUUUGUUUUUUAUGCUUAGGAGCCAGAGAAAGCUAAGAUACUGCUUAAGUGAAGAGCCAUUAUUUACUGUUAAUAAAAUUGACACCGUAACACAUUCCGUAUGGCACAGAUAUGCAAUCACAUCUUGGCAUCAGUAACAGGAGGAAUUAUUCUGCCUGGCUUGCAGUCUUUUCUUCAUUGUACAAAGACAGUAAUUACCCAGCUUGGAACUAAAUGAACCCAACUGAAAAAAGCUGAUUGAUGAGAAAUGACUCCUGACUGCUUCCCAAACACAUCUUGGUUUGGAUGCCAUCACUGACAGCGCUGAUGCCAGCACCAGGUUGUGGCUCCUGCUGGGCAGUAUCCAUAGCCAGGAGUCAGUGUUCAGUGGUUUGGUCUCUAGGGGACUCCCAGCUUGAAGGAGUGAUGAAUAAACAGCGAUAAGCACGCCAUAAACCCUUCCAAACUGACCCAUUUACAUGCAAAGUUGGUAUGUUGCAAAUUAUGAUAAAUGUAGUGCAGGCAAGCCACUCCACAUUAAUUCCUGGGGUAAAGAUCAUGCAGUGGCUUACUCCAGAUUAGGAAUUACUUUGCAUGAGGUUUCUCCAUACAGUGUGGCUAUCAGUCAGUGUGUGAUAACUCCCUUUACAGCCCCAAAUACACCAAAGUCUCCACAUAUGCAUGUCUUUGGGCCAGGCUGUCAUCAUGCAGCAAGCUGUCAUUCCCAGGGCCAGCAAGAUCACCUGUUGCUCCCUCCAGCUUUUCCAUAUCAAGUUCAUGAAGUUUCUCUAAUUUUGCAUUUUAAAUUGAUCUAGUCAACUGCAAAUUGUUGGUUUUGUUGUUUUGUUGUUGCUGUUUUCACCCUUCCUGCAAAUGAAGCUUCCUGCAAAUGAAGGGAUCUGUUAUUCCAUUCAUCCUUUUUCUCAGCCCUGCACAAUUUUUCAUUAGCCGGUGAUGCAACAGUUUGCAAACAUGCUUUCCAGCUUGGUGUAGCUACUGAAAAGCCAGUGACCUUCUGCAUCCAGCUCGGGAGCAGUGUGUGCAGAGCUGCUGCGGAGCUGAGGAUGAACUUCCCAUGGUGAUGAAGAGGCACGAAGGAGUGUUUCUAAGUGCCCAGCUGCCUGCAUUCUUGUUGAGCUCAUCCUUUUAAGACUGCUGAGAGGUGAUUGUAUUAGUAAUGAUACGUUGCAGUGCCUAGAGGCCUGGAUAAAUAACUAAUGAGGCAUCUUAGUCAAAAUAAAAAAGAUUUUCCCUCCUGAUUCCUCUGUUUGAAUGCUCAUUUCUGCAGGAAGGCAUGCAGUGCCGCUGGAAAGCACACACCUCCUGUCCAAACACCACGAUGCCUGCAGGUUGCCAUAGCAAUGAAGAGAGCUGAGGCCAUUUGGGGCUGUAAUUCUGCAAUGCACGCAGCAGUGAGGUGCCACAUCCCCGUGCUCAGCACUGCUCAGACUCCAGCAGCCACAUCCAGCCUGGGAAGGGUGUUUCACAGACACUGAGCCUGUUGUGCAGACUGAAUGUGCCUUCACAGCAUGGCCAAAUAGUACCUAGAUAAUACCAUGGGGUGGCUGUCACUCCUGUGGGUUGCAACAUACCCAGCCGGUCACAAACGGAGAUAGAGUUUGAGUGUACAGCUUGAGAAAGCUGGUGUCUAUUUAAACAUCAUUGCUAGACUAUACUUGCAAUGGACAGUCUAAAUAAAGAUACUCAAUGCUUUAUCAGGCCAAGUUUUACAAAGCAGAAAACCACUACUUGAGGGUUGGCACGAAAGGAAAUGAUUUAAUCUCCAGAAGUGAGUGACAGCUGGGAACUGCAUGAAACCAGCAAACACUGUGCCCGGAAAGCUGCAGUCCUGCAUAAAAGUG
Long non-coding RNA from Gallus gallus (chicken), 2331 nucleotides. Lineage: Eukaryota; Metazoa; Chordata; Aves; Galliformes; Phasianidae. The record is from Ensembl.